AUGCUUUUAAUGACUUCAUUAGUGCUAACGCCAUUCGUGAGCUUCCUCGGGGGGGGAGCUCGCUUUACUUGGUCUAAUCAUCAGGCUAACCCUAUUAGAUCCGUGCUGGAUCGUGUUUUCCUUGGUCCCAGGUGGGAUGCCCUGUUCCCUAGGUCUUAUCUUCUCGCUAAAUGCAUUGUCGGGUCUGAUCAUACCCCCUUGAUUCUUGACGAUGGUUCCAUCUGCAAUAGACCUCCGGCUAGAUUUCAGUUUGAUGCUUCUUGGCUGUCGGUUGACGGCUUUGUCGAUAUGGUCGCUGCGAAAAUUUCCCACUCCCUUUCCUCCAACCUCCGCUCCUUUGGCCCUCUGGAUGACUGGCAUUCUUGCUCCUAUUCCCUUCGCAAAUUUCUUAGAGGGUGGUCGCAUAACCGUGCGGCGGAGGAUCGACGCUCCAAAGCCUUUCUUGAAAAUCAGAUCCUGAAGCUGGAUCGUACUGCUGACUCUAUUGGGCUCUCUGACGAUGGAUGGGUCGUUCGUUAUAAUCUGGAGGCUGCACUUUUGCAGCUGCACCAUCAAGCUGAGAUUUACUGGCGCCAGAGGGGCACUCUUAAUUGGACACUCAAAGGGGACGCUCCUACUGCAUAUUUUUUUGCGAUUGCGAACAGUAGGCGUAGGCGCUGUGACAUUAACAGUUUGAUGAUUAAUGGUCUGCGCUCCUCUGAUCAGUCGGUGAUUCUAGCUCAUGUAGUGGAUUUCUUCUCGUCUUUGUUAGGGGCUAAACCUCAAUCGGGCUUGUCCAUUUCCCCCCACCUUUGGAGUUAUGGUCUUAAAAUUUCCCCCGAGGAGAAUGCCUCCUUGAUGAUCCCGCUCUCUGAUCAGGAAAUCUGGGACGUGGUUAAUUCUGCUAACCCCAAUGCAGCAUCUGGGCCAGAUGGCUUUCCAUUCCUUUCUUUCGGAGAUUUUGGCCCCAGUUGA
This 954-nucleotide ribosomal RNA is filed under the name Triticum aestivum (bread wheat). RNAcentral describes it as "partial small subunit ribosomal RNA". The record is from RNAcentral. Lineage: Eukaryota; Viridiplantae; Streptophyta; Magnoliopsida; Poales; Poaceae.